UACGUAGGGUGCAAGCGUUAACCGGAAUUACUGGGCGUAAAGCGGGCGCAGGCGGUUUUGUAAGUCUGACGUGAAAUCCCCGGGCUCAACCUGGGAAUUGCGUUGGAGACUGCAAGGCUAGAAUCUGGCAGAGGGGGGUAGAAUUCUACGUGUAGCAGUGAAAUGCGUAGAGAUGUGGAGGAACACCGAUGGCGAAGGCAGCCCCCUGGGUCAAGAUUGACGCUCAUGCACGAAAGCGUGGGGAGCAAACAGG
RNAcentral lists this ribosomal RNA (253 nucleotides) under uncultured bacterium. RNAcentral describes it as "partial 16S ribosomal RNA". It matches the Rfam family "Bacterial small subunit ribosomal RNA", at positions 524 to 776 of the family's 1533-position model. The record is from RNAcentral.